Molecule: ribosomal RNA, 440 nt
Filed under: uncultured bacterium
Lineage: Bacteria
Description: partial 16S ribosomal RNA
Rfam family: Bacterial small subunit ribosomal RNA
Source: RNAcentral
CCUACGGGUGGCUGCAGUGGGGGAUAUUGCACAAUGGGGGAAACCCUGAUGCAGCGACGCCGCGUGAGGGAAGACGGUUUUCGGAUUGUAAACCUCUGUCUUCGGGGACGAAUUGAGACGGUACCCAAGGAGGAAGCUCCGGCGAACUACGUGCCAGCAGCGGCGGUAAUGCGUAGGGAGCAAGCGUUGUCCGGAAUUACUGGGUGUAAUGGGAGCGUAGGCGGGAUAGUAAGUUGAUUGUUAAAGCUAUGGGCUCAACUGGUACAUGCGAUCGAAACUGCAAUUCUUGAGUGAAGUAGAGGCAGGCGGAAUGCGUGGUGUAGCGGUGAAAUGCGUAGAUAUUAGGAAGAACACCAGUGGCGAAGGCAGCCUGCUGGGCUUUAACUGACGCUGAGGCUCGAAAGUGUGGGUAGCAAACAGGAUUAGAUACCCGAGUAGUC